RNAcentral lists this long non-coding RNA (2316 nucleotides) under Homo sapiens (human). RNAcentral describes it as "HSALNT0050402". Lineage: Eukaryota; Metazoa; Chordata; Mammalia; Primates; Hominidae. The record is from RNAcentral.
CGGGAGAGCAGCUUCCACUGCUGGCCACACGGCAUAUCAUGCGCUCCGCGCUGGGAACAUCCUUCUUGUUGGCCAUGAGCUCUGCGCACUACAACGGAGUCUCCCUCUGUCACCCAGGCUGACUUGCAGUGGCGCCAUCUCAUCUUACUGCAACCUCCACCUCCGGGUUCAAGCAAUUCUCCUGACUUAGCCUCUCGAGUAGCUGGGACUACAGGCACCUACCACCAUACCUGGCUAUUUUUUUUCUUUUUUUUUUUGUAUUUUUAGAAGAAAUGGGGUUUCACCAUCUUGGCCAGGCUGGUCUUGAACUCCUGACCUCAAGUGACCCACCCACAUUGGCCUCCCGUAGUGCUGGGAUUACAGGCAUGAGCCACCAGGCCUGAUCUAUUGUCUAUUUUUAUAUCUUUUAUGAAAUGUUACUUCUGCCCUUUAAAAAUUGGAUUAGUUGUCUUUUUAUUAUUGAAUUACUUAUAUAUCCUAGAUGUAAGUCCUUAGUCACGGGUAUGUUUUGCAAAUAUUUUCUCCCAGUCUGUAGCUUGCCUCUGAAUUUUCUUUUCUUUUGUUUUCUUUUUUUUUUUUUUUUGAGACAGAGUCUCUGUUGCCCAGGCUGGAGUACAAUGGCUCAAUCUUGGCUCACUGCAACCUCCACCUCCUAAGUUCAAGCGAUUCUUGUGCCUCAGCCUCACCAGUAGCUGGGACCACAGGCAUGUGCCACCACACCUGGCUAACUUUUGUAUUUUUUGUAGAGACAGGAUUUCGCCAUGUUGGCUAGGCUGGACUUGAACUCCUGGACUCAAGUGAUCCACUUGCCUCGGCCUCCCAAAGUGCUGGGAUUACAGGCGAGAGCCACCGCACCCAGCCACCUGUUCAUUUUCUUAAUUGGCUUUUGAUGAGAAGUUUUUAGUUUAAAGAAAUUUCGAUUUAUCAAAUGUUUCUUUUGUGAUUUUGCCUUCUGAACCUUAGAAACCCUUGCUUACUCUUGAGUCCUGAAGAUAUUCUUCUAUAUUUGCCUCCAAAAGCUUUAUGAUUUUACCUUUUGUUUACUAAAGGCAAUGUUAGAGGUACACUGAUAAAUAUUUUUAUAUUUAUUUAUUAUUUAUUUUUGAGGUUUUUUUUGAGACAGAGUCUCACUCUGUUACCCAAGCUGGAGUGCUGUGGUGUCAUCACAGCUCACUGUCUCUACAAAAAGCAUUUUUUUAAAGAUAUGCAAAAUAAAAGAAAUUAUUUGUCUAUCAAUGAAUCUGCUCUGUUUAUCAGUGUGGAUUAUUGAGGGAAACUUUUAUGAAUGACUCAGUUUUGCUCACCUCCUAUUAUAUCCAAUCAAAGCUGAUAAGGAAACUGGAAAGCUCAUGUGGAAUUCAUCCUUUGAGUAAGAGCAGAAUCAGCUUUGUGAUUUUCUUGUUAUCAUCUUGUGCUUACAUUCCUGGUUUAUCUUCAAUAAGCAGCUUUGCUGUGGGAAUCUUCAGAGGUUCAUUUUGCUUUAUAUGAAAGUUAAUUUCAUUAAAAUUGAAGAAUAGAGUCUGUAAAUCCACAUACAUGGGAACACAGUAAAGUAUGACCAAAGCAGAUAUCUAGCUGGGUUACCCCCAAAGUGCAGCCCAGUGUAAAGUCUUCUUUGCAGAUAGUUCAUUUGGGAAUAUGGUCACAAGGAAUAAAAAUGCAGGGCCGGGGAGUGAAACAGGGAAGGAGGGAAAACCCGUACAAGAACCUGUUUCCAAGUUGCCCCUCCAUGACCCCAGCUAAGGGGCAUCUCACUAGAAUAUUUUGGGGAGCCUCACAGAGUUCAUUUCGGAAAUAUGUGUCUGUAGGACAAAAAAGAAGCAUUUAUCCAUCAGCUCCUGCGUCCCAAUUGUCAAGAAUGGCUUCAAGAGCGUAAACACUCCUGCUCUUCUGGUUUACUCAAAGGGGAUUCCCAAGUCCCAGAGCAGAAGAGUGAGAUGUACAGUGAGGCCCAUGUUAGUGCCAGCAUGAUACUGGUCCCACAGCAGUGGCUGGAGCUGACUCCCUACACUUAGUGGGCCAAGGAAAUUUUGAAGAGGUGCUCAAGAAGUGUCUGACACAGCAGACGAACACCAGCAGCAACAACAACAACAAAAAGGUUGCAUUUUCAAUUCCUUAAGCAUUGUGGAACUCUCUCUGAGUACCACCUAUACCACACAUGCUAUAUGGUCAUUUGGGUACUGAGCGAGGGGAAAGCUUUGUUUAUUUGUUAUUUUCCAUUUUUUUCUUUUUUUAACUUCUUUUUACUAAAUAUAAAUAAAAGUUAUAAUGACUUAUUGCCUUAUUCCAGUGGAAAUUCUUCCAGACCCAUUGGGG